This 1208-nucleotide ribosomal RNA is filed under the name Escherichia coli. Its description in RNAcentral is "bacterial LSU rRNA". It matches the Rfam family "Bacterial large subunit ribosomal RNA", at positions 1 to 1239 of the family's 2925-position model. Lineage: Bacteria; Pseudomonadati; Pseudomonadota; Gammaproteobacteria; Enterobacterales; Enterobacteriaceae. The record is from RNAcentral. RNAcentral also lists the same sequence under 1 other name.
GGGUUGUGAGGUUAAGCGACUAAGCGUACACGGUGGAUGCCCUGGCAGUCAGAGGCGAUGAAGGACGUGCUAAUCUGCGAUAAGCGUCGGUAAGGUGAUAUGAACCGUUAUAACCGGCGAUUUCCGAAUGGGGAAACCCAGUGUGAUUCGUCACACUAUCAUUAACUGAAUCCAUAGGUUAAUGAGGCGAACCGGGGGAACUGAAACAUCUAAGUACCCCGAGGAAAAGAAAUCAACCGAGAUUCCCCCAGUAGCGGCGAGCGAACGGGGAGGAGCCCAGAGCCUGAAUCAGUGUGUGUGUUAGUGGAAGCGUCUGGAAAGGCGCGCGAUACAGGGUGACAGCCCCGUACACAAAAAUGCACAUGCUGUGAGCUCGAUGAGUAGGGCGGGACACGUGGUAUCCUGUCUGAAUAUGGGGGGACCAUCCUCCAAGGCUAAAUACUCCUGACUGACCGAUAGUGAACCAGUACCGUGAGGGAAAGGCGAAAAGAACCCCGGCGAGGGGAGUGAAAAAGAACCUGAAACCGUGUACGUACAAGCAGUGGGAGCACAGAGCAAUCUGUGUGACUGCGUACCUUUUGUAUAAUGGGUCAGCGACUUAUAUUCUGUAGCAAGGUUAACCGAAUAGGGGAGCCGAAGGGAAACCGAGUCUUAACCGGGCGUUAAGUUGCAGGGUAUAGACCCGAAACCCGGUGAUCUAGCCAUGGGCAGGUUGAAGGUUGGGUAACACUAACUGGAGGACCGAACCGACUAAUGUUGAAAAAUUAGCGGAUGACUUGUGGCUGGGGGUGAAAGGCCAAUCAAACCGGGAGAUAGCUGGUUCUCCCCGAAAGCUAUUUAGGUAGCGCCUCGUGAAUUCAUCUCCGGGGGUAGAGCACUGUUUCGGCAAGGGGGUCAUCCCGACUUACCAACCCGAUGCAAACUGCGAAUACCGGAGAAUGUUAUCACGGGAGACACACGGCGGGUGCUAACGUCCGUCGUGAAGAGGGAAACAACCCAGACCGCCAGCUAAGGUCCCAAAGUCAUGGUUAAGUGGGAAACGAUGUGGGAAGGCCCAGACAGCCAGGAUGUUGGCUUAGAAGCAGCCAUCAUUUAAAGAAAGCGUAAUAGCUCACUGGUCGAGUCGGCCUGCGCGGAAGAUGUAACGGGGCUAAACCAUGCACCGAAGCUGCGGCAGCGACACUGUGUGUUGUUGGGUAGGGGAGCGU